GAAAAUUCCCGCAAAUAUUCCCACCGGUGCGCAGGCAGGCAAUUAGGAACUGAUUAAUUUCAUUUUGCGGUGCGCAGGCAAGAGGAACUGCAACUGGAACGGCAACUGGAACUGGUUAUCAUUUCAAAAAUAUGGCGACACAUUGGUUGAAUGGUGUUAAAAAACGGUUGAAGAAGCCACAUGACUCCAGGGUCCACCAAGAUGUUGUUAUUAUUAGGGGGGAUGCCAAGGAGUUCAUGGAGGGUUACAUCAAAGAAGUGCAGGAGAAGGACCAUUGCUACUUCAGACCCCCAGUCUGCCGCCGGAAGGACUAUUAUUACUAUGGCUGUGACCGUGGGAAUCACGCUGCAGGCAAAAGUAAUGGAGAAGCCACACAAACUCGGGCCAAUUCUUGCAAGGCAUACAUCUCUUUCAAAGUCAUCACGGAUGCCGGAAUAUCAGGUGCCAUAAUCCAAAAGAUGCUACAGCACACUGGCCAUGACGAGGGUAAUUCUAAAGAGAAAAACCGCAUCCACCCAGACCUGCAUUCCCUCAUUGAAAUAUGGCUUCAACAGGGUUGUUCUACUUCUGAGAUCUUAAUAAAAAGCUAUGAUUGGGCUCAACAAAAUGGGCAUGUGGACAAAAAAGACCGCCGGUUUUACUUGACCCCUAAUGACAUUCGGCUUUUAAAGAAAACAGUGAUUCUGUCAGUGUGGACCAUUUGGUUUCCAUGGAACUCAGAGACAACAUCUGUUUUUUUCAGCCACUUCACAAUGAACAACCAUUCAUUUUAGUUGUACAAACACCAUUUCAAAAACAACUUUUGGAAGAGAACCCUCAUCCAAUGGUUUUCAUGGAUGCUUCAUACAAAGGCAUAACAGCCUACGGGUAUGCAUUUUAUGCACUGUUAUUGAUAAACAAAACUGGAAGAGGCGUGCCAUUUGCCUAUUUUAUCCUGAGCAAGGAAACUACUGCAACAGUAAGCCUCUGCCUACAGAAGCUUCAAUUGAGUAACCCAAGCUUCUAUCCAAGGUCAGUGAUGAUGGACUGUGACUUGAGAGUGCUUAAUGCUAUUAAAAGCGUUUUCCCAAAUGCAAAGCUUCUCCUUUGUUGGUUCCAUGUGCUUCAGGCUGUUAACCGGUGGCUUGUGAAGACAGAUGGAGGUCACCUGACACCUGAACAAAGAAAUGUGGUCAUUCAUGCCAUGGCAUCAAUGAAAGCAUGUCUGACGGAGGAAGAGUUUCUCAAUGUAUCUGCCAAGAAAUGCAGUGAGAUCGACACCUUUUUGGAUAGUCCCCAUGUAACAACUUAUCUGAAGACAAAUUGGUUUACUUAUGCGGAGCUGUGGGUAAACUUUGGCAGAACGUUCUAUCACUGUAGCAGUGAGACAAACAACAAGGCUGAAAGCUACAUGGAUGGCCUCAGCGAAGCAGGACGACUGACAUUAUCCAGCUCUGCUGCUCACCAGGCUGCUGCGCUGCUAUUUAAAAAUGGUGUGGGCUAAGAUUUGGACAUAGAAGUGGGGCAGUGCUUUGUGCCAUCACAGUCAACCAACACAGCCUACAAAGUUAACUUGUUACACUUCACGUGUGAAUGCACCAAUUUCCGGAUGGGAAACAUAUGCAAACAUCUUCUCUUGGUGAAGAUGGAGGUAGGCAGGAGAGGUAUUGACAUUGAAAAAAUGCGGAAUAAUAAAGCGCUAGAAAUCAUCAGCCUCCGUCUCUAUCAGCAGACUGAAGAUGAAAUAACCAUCUUCAAUAGUGAUGGGACUAUGAGUAUUGUGAAUAGGAAAACUCCGACUUUGUGCACAUGCAUUGCUAAUAGUUUUGGAGAAAGAUGUGUUUGCAUACAUGUCACACAUGUCCUCAAGCCUCAAGACAUUCUCACAGACCCCAAAGAAAAUGCACAAGUGUCUGAAUCCUCCCAUACAGUCCAUGUUAUCAGACCUACUACAGUGGAGCAACUCCGAAGCAUUUGAACAUACCCCUGAACUGUACCAUACCAUCCAAAGAGCACACA
This is a long non-coding RNA of Cyprinus carpio carpio, 1998 nucleotides long. Lineage: Eukaryota; Metazoa; Chordata; Actinopteri; Cypriniformes; Cyprinidae. The record is from Ensembl.